UACAGAGGUCUCAAGCGUUUGUUCGGAUUCAUUGGGCGUAAAGGGUGCGUAGGUGGCGCCGUAAGUCAGGUGUGAAAUUUCGGAGCUUAACUCCGAAACUGCAUUUGAUACUGCGGUGCUUGAGGACUGGAGAGGAGACUGGAAUUUACGGUGUAGCAGUGAAAUGCGUAGAGAUCGUAAGGAAGACCAGUGGCGAAGGCGGGUCUCUGGACAGUUCCUGACAGCUG
RNAcentral lists this ribosomal RNA (227 nucleotides) under uncultured bacterium. RNAcentral's name for it is "partial 16S ribosomal RNA". It matches the Rfam family "Bacterial small subunit ribosomal RNA", at positions 524 to 748 of the family's 1533-position model. The record is from RNAcentral.